GCCGGGCGAGAUGGUGCACGCCUGUAAUCCCAGCAACUCAGGAGGCUGAGGUAGGAGGAUUGAGAAUUCAACACCAGCCUCAG
This 83-nucleotide small RNA is filed under the name Marmota monax (woodchuck). The record is from RNAcentral. Lineage: Eukaryota; Metazoa; Chordata; Mammalia; Rodentia; Sciuridae.